This 235-nucleotide ribosomal RNA is filed under the name uncultured bacterium. Its description in RNAcentral is "partial 16S ribosomal RNA". It matches the Rfam family "Bacterial small subunit ribosomal RNA", at positions 120 to 354 of the family's 1533-position model. The record is from RNAcentral.
AGUAACCUGCCUUGGAGUGGGGAAUAACAGCUGGAAACAGCUGCUAAUACCGCAUGAUGCAGUUGGGUCGCAUGGCUCUGACUGCCAAAGAUUUAUCGCUCUGAGAUGGACUCGCGUCUGAUUAGCUAGUUGGCGGGGCAACGGCCCACCAAGGCGACGAUCAGUAGCCGGACUGAGAGGUUGGCCGGCCACAUUGGGACUGAGACACGGCCCAAACUCCUACGGAAGGCAGCAG